UGGCGUCGUCGUCAGCUCGUGUCGUGAGAUGUUGGGUUAAGUCCCGUAACGAGCGCAACCCCUGCAUUUUAGUUGCCAUCGGUACGGCCGGGCACUCUAGAUGGACUGCCGGCGACAAGCCGGAGGAAGGUGGGGAUGACGUCAAGUCAUCAUGGCCCUUAUGUCCAGGGCGACACACGUGCUACAAUGGCCGGCACAGCGGGAAGCGAAUGGGCGACCAUGAGCGGAUCCCCAUAAAAGCCGGUCCCAGUUCGGAUUGCAGUCUGCAACUCGACUGCAUGAAGUUGGAAUCGCUAGUAAUCGCGGAUCAGCCAAGCCGCGGUGAAUACGUUCCCGGGCCUU
Molecule: ribosomal RNA, 342 nt
Filed under: uncultured Thermovirga sp.
Lineage: Bacteria; Thermotogati; Synergistota; Synergistia; Synergistales; Thermovirgaceae
Description: bacterial SSU rRNA
Rfam family: Bacterial small subunit ribosomal RNA
Source: RNAcentral